AUAUUCUAGUCUUAUCUUUUAGUUUGUCCUCUGUCUUUGGGGCUAAUAGCUCAGUAUCUUAGAAAUUCAGCAGCACAUACAUGGCAUAAACAGCCUUCUUAUGUCUUACACUGGAAGAGAUUGUUUUGAACUUUUUAUUACAAAAUAAAAAUCCAAUUGACUCUUCUUAAUGUACUAACGUGUUUACAAACUUGGGGGCUAUUUAGAAAGUGAUAUAAAUUCUUUCACAUGAUCUGAAUAUUGGUACAAAUGACGUUCAGAACAUUCCCUAUUAUAAAGACCUACAGUUUGUACAAGUAGAAUCUUUCCAUUAAACAGUCUCAGUUUCCUUAAAGUUGUUUUCUUUUCCUUUUCUUAAGUUCAGCCUUUAAUUUGUUUAUUUCAAUUUUCUUUUUCAGGAAAUAUAACCAAGAAGAGUUCUGAGAGAAUAUCCUCAUUUGUCCUUCUGGGAUUAAACAAGAAUACUGUAUUUUGGAACUCCGGGAGUUGGUGAUAGACAAGGAGGCCUGGCGUGCUACGAUUCAUGGGGUCGCAAAGAGUCAGACAUGACUGAGCAACUGAUCUGAUCUGAUCAGGGAUUUAACCAAGUGCCUGUCUGCCCCAGACCAUCAGAGGCAGCUGAAACUUAGGGUGGAUGA
RNAcentral lists this long non-coding RNA (638 nucleotides) under Bos indicus x Bos taurus (hybrid cattle). RNAcentral describes it as "lncRNA (ENSBIXG00000007862.1)". The record is from RNAcentral. Lineage: Eukaryota; Metazoa; Chordata; Mammalia; Artiodactyla; Bovidae.